RNAcentral lists this ribosomal RNA (254 nucleotides) under uncultured bacterium. RNAcentral's name for it is "partial 16S ribosomal RNA". It matches the Rfam family "Bacterial small subunit ribosomal RNA", at positions 524 to 776 of the family's 1533-position model. The record is from RNAcentral.
UACGGGGGGAGCAAGCGUUGUUCGGAUUUACUGGGCGUAAAGGGCGCGUAGGCGGUCGUAACAAGUCACUUGUGAAAUCUCCUGGCUUAACUCGGAACGGUCAAGUGAUACUGUCGGACUAGAGUACAGAAGGGGCAACUGGAAUUCUCGGUGUAGCGGUGAAAUGCGUAGAUAUCAGGAGGAACACCGAUGGCGAAGGCAGGUCUCUGGGCAUUAACUGACGCUGAGGAGCGAAAGCAUGGGGAGCGAACAGG